GACGAACGCUGGCGGCGUGCUUAACACAUGCAAGUCGGACGAUGAAACAGGAGCUUGCUCUUGGGGAUUAGUGGCGAACGGGUGAGUAACACGUGAGUAACCUGCCCUUGACUCUGGGAUAACCUCCGGAAACGGAAGCUAAUACCGGAUACGAACUGCGAAGGCAUCUUCAGCAGUUGGAAAGAACUUCGGUCAAGGAUGGACUCGCGGCCUAUCAGGUAGUUGGUGAGGUAACGGCCCACCAAGCCUACGACGGGUAGCCGGCCUGAGAGGGUGACCGGCCACACUGGGACUGAGACACGGUCCAGACUCCUACGGGAGGCAGCAGUGGGGAAUAUUGCACAAUGGGCGCAAGCCUGAUGCAGCAACGCCGCGUGAGGGAUGACGGCCUUCGGGUUGUAAACCUCUUUUUAGUAGGGAAGAAGCGAAAGUGACGGUACCUGCAGAAAAAGCACCGGCUAACUACGUGCCAGCAGCCGCGGUAAUACGUAGGGUGCGAGCGUUGUCCGGAAUUAUUGGGCGUAAAGAGCUCGUAGGCGGUCUGUCGCGUCUGCUGUGAAAACCCGAGGCUCAACCUCGGGCCUGCAGUGGU
Molecule: ribosomal RNA, 592 nt
Filed under: Leifsonia aquatica
Lineage: Bacteria; Bacillati; Actinomycetota; Actinomycetes; Micrococcales; Microbacteriaceae
Description: bacterial SSU rRNA
Rfam family: Bacterial small subunit ribosomal RNA
Source: RNAcentral